GCGAGCCGGCUAGCUCUGAUAGGGGCUUGCUCGUUCGUUCGUUUAGUUCGCCGUAAGCGAUCGAUGGAUUAGUAGUGUUUGCAUUGACAGUAUUCUCCGAGAUCGUCGUUGAGUUGUUUCGUUACAACACAGAAGAUUAGUAAACAGCUGUCAAACCAAGUUCAUUGACAACGAAAACACUUGUGUGUGAUGGUACGACGAAGCACAGAGCACAUGGGGAAAGAACUGCGAAUUAUCGGCGAAGAAAGUAUGGAAAACGGCUACGUGUAUGUGUUUCCCGAAGUGGGAGCCAGUGAGAAUGGUCUCCCAGACGACGAUGCGAAUGCACAAGUCGCAGCGCAACCCACGCGAAAUCUGCCGAAUAUUUUGAGGAGCAGCAAUGCGAAGGCAUACAAGAAUUGCAAAACACUCAUACUGAACAAGAACGACAUCUCCUUCAUAUCCAACACGGAGGAUACAAAUAUGUCUUUCGAUUCAAAUACAACAUUAUCCAGAGCCGACUCGGACAAGAACAGCAAGUACAAUAAGGUCGCGUCGCCGAAGUCGCACCAUCAGAGGAAACAAGUGCACCAUCCUUUAGACACGCGGUACGAUGCACUGAACUGGAAUAAUAAGAAGAAAGUCAAAAAUGCACUGCAGACGAUUGGCAAAUUAGAAACGCUGUAUGCUUCACUAGGUCACAAGGGAGAUACCUCGACGAAGAAGAUAAACAAUAAACUCAGCGGUAAAGAGGAAAAAUGUAUGUUUAAAAAAUCAAGGGGAGCAGCGAGUCGCAAAUCCGAUAAUAGAAAGACAGCUAAGUUGUCAGGACUUGACACUGGAUCUACUAUUGUUCCAGGUGUUGUUGAUGCGACGGACCAGACAGCCGUGCAAAAUGUCACGAACGAUAAGUUUUUCGGCGACGAAGUAUUUACCGACAUCAUGGACGUUGAGACGAAAUUGGACGAUAUUUUAUAUCGCGAUAACAAUAUUUACAAUCCCGAGAAGAAGCGUAAUACGGUUUGUAACAGUGUCAUUUCUGGCAAAUCAACAGAGUGCAACACGAUGCAGCAGGAUGCAGCGUUUCGAAAGGAUCUAUUGAGUUACGAGUUUUCCGAGGAUAGAGAUAACUUGGAAGAUGAUUCGAUGAGCAAGAACACCAGAUCGAAUUUCUUAUUCGCGUCUGAAGUAUUGUGCACCUGUACUUGUGCGAAUUGUACGUCUUGUGACAAAGACUUCAUAUUGUGCGAGGAUUCAGUUCCGAGAGAUGUUAACAGCAACAUGGAGACGGAAUUCUUCACACCCUGCGCGUAUGAUUUGUAUACUAGCGAUUAUUAUCAUAUAUUCGCUGACAUAGACGAUUUCGAUAAAAAGAUUUUCCGCUACGAGGAAGCUGAGAACACGUGCGUCACGAAAGAGAGCGCGUGUGAUUGCAACAACAUUAGUAGCUGUGACACAACGAAGUUAACAGAGAACGACGCUAGUGCGCCAACACCUGUAAAGCAAAGCGACUUGGAAAUUUUUUACUCGGAAACCGAUACGAGAUUGCAAGAGAACCACGUGGAAACGCAUUCUGCAGAACCCAUCACGCACUCUGAUGACGAAUCAACGGGAUCUACGGGACAUAAAAAAGAUCUCGAUAAAACGGAACAUUUCGAGAAGAAUAUAGAAGGCAUUUCGUUGGAGAUAUGCAAAGCUUCUCAAGAUCAAAUUACUGCCUCAACCAAAGCUUUCGUUUCCAAAAACCGACCACACAGGAGUAAGAAAGAUUUAUAUGUUAUCCAGUGUACUCAGUGUAGUAGGCUGUUCAACGAGAACAAGUUUAGGAAACAUUUUACUCAUUGCAGUUUCGACAAGGAAGAUUUCAAAUGUCACAUUUGCCAAAAAAUAUACAGGUCACCAAAGUUUUCCGGCCAACUCUCGCCUCGAGGAUGAAGAUCGAAGACCGUGCGUCAUUCUUCUUUCAUCUUCGAGACGAGCGGAGCAUUUAGAGUUCCGGAGUUUAGCGAGAACUAUUUCAAGGACACUUCGUGUUACCUUAGUGAUUUCUAUCGGAACACACACACUACCAAGACGAUCUGGAAGCCUUGCAGUGCCAGAAUAACAGUGGUCAGCAGUAAUUGGAACAGGAUGAAGCUGUUGAAGGAUUUUUCCACGACGUUCAUGUAACUGAAACACCGCCGUUAAUAG
RNAcentral lists this unclassified non-coding RNA (2169 nucleotides) under Harpegnathos saltator (Jerdon's jumping ant). Its description in RNAcentral is "zinc finger and SCAN domain containing protein 4D, transcript variant X3". The record is from RNAcentral. Lineage: Eukaryota; Metazoa; Arthropoda; Insecta; Hymenoptera; Formicidae.